RNAcentral lists this unclassified non-coding RNA (1764 nucleotides) under Hevea brasiliensis (rubber tree). Lineage: Eukaryota; Viridiplantae; Streptophyta; Magnoliopsida; Malpighiales; Euphorbiaceae. The record is from RNAcentral.
UAGAAAUGCAGCAUAAAAAUUCCAUUCCAGUUGCCCGUCCAGCCAGAUUAUAAUUCAGCUGGUGAUACAAGUGUUUGUAUAGCUGAUAAAAUUUCCAUGGGGCUAUCGUCAUUCUGCAGCUUCUCAAUCUUCAUCCUGUUUCUAAUCCUCCAGUCAUCAGACUGCCAACAAGAAUAUAUCAGUACUCUGUCGCUCGACUGCAGUAAAAAUUCUUCUAUAUCAAAAGGGUAUGUUUGCAAUGGAAAUCAAAUUCCAUGCCAGUCCUUUUUAACCUUGCUCUCCCGCCCUCCCUAUGACUCCCCCAUCACCAUUUCUAAUCUUUUAGGUUCGGAAGCCUCGAGUAUAGCCUUGAUCAACAACGUAUCAUCCAUAUUCACAUUUCCCUCAGAGAAAUCGACCAUAGUUCCUGUUUCUUGUUCAUGUACUCAGGGCUUCUACCAGCAUAAUACUUCUUAUUUUAUUCAAGAUCAAAGCGAGACAUUUUUCACAGUAGCCAAUAAUACUUAUCAAGGCCUUACUACUUGUCAGGCAAUUAUGGAUCAAAACUCACAAUUAUCUGCCAGACCAGAUCUUAGCGUGGGAUCGAAGCUUACGGUUCCACUAAGAUGCGCAUGCCCGAGUACAAAUCAAACAGCAAAAGGGGUGAUCUCCUUGCUGGUUUAUACUGUGACGUGGGAUGAGACGAUUUCAUCGAUUGCACAGAGGUUUGGGGUUGAUGAAGCAAGCGUGCUGGAGGCCAACAAGUUGUCACAGGAAGGCAAUAUCUAUCCCUUCACACCUAUUCUGGUUCCACUUACAAACGAGAAUCAUUUGAUAAAUGCGGGGAAUUCAGCAAAUCCGAGGAAUUCAGCAAAUCCAGGGAAUUCAACAAAUUUAGGGAAUUUCUCUUGCCUCUAUGCUAAUGGAUCUGUUCCAGUUGGAGUAGCAGAAGAUAUCUAUUGCAGAGCACAAAAUAAAAAGUUCCCUACCAAACUGGUUGCAGUAUUAGGUGUGGGCAUUGGCGUGGGACUGCUGUGUUUGUUUAUUUUCGCCUAUAAGUUAUAUCAAUUCUUGAAGAAAAGAAGAUACAGAAUUCGAAAAGCCAGAUUGUUCAUGCAAAAUGGUGGCUUGUUGUUGCAACAGCGACUAUCAUCUUAUGGAAGUAGUGAAAAGGCCAAAUUAUUUACUGCAGAGGAGCUGCAGAGAGCAACCGACAACUACAACCAGAGUAGAUUUCUUGGUCAGGGAGGCUUUGGCACUGUUUACAAGGGGAUGCUACCAGACGGUAGCAUAGUUGCUGUUAAAAGAUCAAAAACUAUUGACAGAAGAGAAAUUGAACAAUUUAUAAAUGAGGUUGUCAUUCUAUCCCAGAUAAAUCAUCGAAACAUAGUGAAGUUUCUUGGCUGUUGUUUAGAAAGUGAAUUUCCAUUACUGGUUUAUGAGUUCAUUUCUAAUGGAACCCUUUCCCAACAUAUUCAUGCGCAAGACCAAGAAUCAUCACUUCCAUGGGAGGAUCGUUUCAGAAUUGCAAGUGAAGUAGCUGGAGCAGUAGCAUACAUGCAUUCUGCAGCUUCAUUUCCAAUCUUCCAUAGAGAUAUCAAAUCUUCAAACAUACUCCUUGAUGAUAAAUACAGCGCAAAAGUAUCAGAUUUUGGGACUUCAAGAUUGAUCUCAUAUGACAAAACCCACAUAACCACUAUAGUUCAGGGAACAUUUGGGUACUUGGAUCCUGAAUACUUCUACACAAGCCAAUUCACAGACAAAAGUGAUGUGUACAGCUUUGGG